GACGAACGCUGGCGGCGUGCUUAACACAUGCAAGUCGAACGGAAAGGCCCUGCUUUUGUGGGGUGCUCGAGUGGCGAACGGGUGAGUAACACGUGAGUAACCUGCCCUUGACUUUGGGAUAACUUCAGGAGACUGGGGCUAAUACCGGAUAGGAGCUCCUGCUGCAUGGUGGGGGUUGGAAAGUUUCGGCGGUUGGGGAUGGACUCGCGGCUUAUCAGCUUGUUGGUGGGGUAGUGGCUUACCAAGGCUUUGACGGGUAGCCGGCCUGAGAGGGUGACCGGCCACAUUGGGACUGAGAUACGGCCCAGACUCCUACGGGAGGCAGCAGUGGGGAAUAUUGCACAAUGGGCGGAAGCCUGAUGCAGCAACGCCGCGUGCGGGAUGACGGCCUUCGGGUUGUAAACCGCUUUCGCCUGUGACGAAGCGUGAGUGACGGUAACGGGUAAAGAAGCACCGGCUAACUACGUG
Molecule: ribosomal RNA, 468 nt
Filed under: uncultured bacterium
Lineage: Bacteria
Description: partial 16S ribosomal RNA
Rfam family: Bacterial small subunit ribosomal RNA
Source: RNAcentral